Molecule: transfer RNA, 78 nt
Filed under: Enhydrobacter aerosaccus SK60
Lineage: Bacteria; Pseudomonadati; Pseudomonadota; Alphaproteobacteria; Hyphomicrobiales
Description: tRNA-Asn
Rfam family: tRNA
About the family: Transfer RNA (tRNA) molecules are approximately 80 nucleotides in length. Their secondary structure includes four short double-helical elements and three loops (D, anti-codon, and T loops).
Source: RNAcentral
UUCUCCAAUAGCUCAGUCGGUAGAGCAAUGGACUGUUAAUCCAUGUGUCCCUGGUUCGAGCCCAGGUUGGAGAGCCAU